Molecule: ribosomal RNA, 248 nt
Filed under: uncultured bacterium
Lineage: Bacteria
Description: partial 16S ribosomal RNA
Rfam family: Bacterial small subunit ribosomal RNA
Source: RNAcentral
CACGCCGUAAACGAUGGGUACUAGGCGUCGGGGGGAGCGACCCUCCCGGUGCCGUCGCUAACGCAGUAAGUACCCCGCCUGGGGAGUACGGUCGCAAGACUGAAACUCAAAGGAAUUGACGGGGGCCCGCACAAGCGGUGGAGCAUGUGGUUUAAUUCGAAGCAACGCGAAGAACCUUACCUGGGCUUGACAUGCACGGGAAAUCCGGUGGAAACAUCGGCCCCUCUUCGGAGUCCGUGCACAGGUGC